RNAcentral lists this long non-coding RNA (627 nucleotides) under Oreochromis niloticus (Nile tilapia). RNAcentral's name for it is "lncRNA (ENSONIG00000032259.1)". The record is from RNAcentral. Lineage: Eukaryota; Metazoa; Chordata; Actinopteri; Cichliformes; Cichlidae.
AAACACGACACAAUGCCAGCUGUCAAGAACAAGAAAAAGAAGGUGAAGAAAGAGGUUGUUGAUGAGGAAGAGCAGGGAGAAGUGGCCCUGGAUGUGGAGAUGGAGGAAGUGAUCAACAGGAGCCAUUCUGACAGCAGAGACCCUUUGACCCCAGAGCCACAGGAUCUAGCACCACAGAAGAAAAAGAAGAAGAAGAAGGCACCUACAGUUGAACACGAAACAGAGCAUGCUGAUACGCCAAAUGGCAACAUUGCUGAACCAGUGAUAGAUGGAGAAGAAAUGAAUGUCGCUGUAACCAGGAGGACAAAAAGGAAGAGGUGAGUACCAGCAUUAGGUCAGAUCCUCAUAUUUGAGCUAGAUGGAAAACCAUCACUGAUGGAAAAAUGCAUCCAAAGAACCAUUGAGGGGUUUUUUCAGUAAUGAGUUCACUCAUCAUUUGUGACAGUCAGGAAUCCAAAUUAGGAAAGUACAAGCAGUAGCAUUAACUAUGGUCAAAGAUCAACAAAUAUUAGUGAACUGUGGCAGUUAGCUUUAGCUGAAGCGAUGUCAAAAGUUAAACUUAGUCACUGUGCAGUAAUAUGAAAAAGAAUGCUUUCAUAAGACUGUGGUAAUAAGCAAAACACAACC